GUGCUCGCUUCAGCAGCACAUAUACUAAAAUUGGAAUGAUACGCAGUGGAUUAGCAUGGCCCCUGCACAAGGAUGGCACGCAAAUUCGUGAAGCGCUCCAUGUUUUU
Small nuclear RNA from Tupaia belangeri (northern tree shrew), 107 nucleotides. The record is from Ensembl. NCBI's taxonomy places the organism in Eukaryota, Metazoa, Chordata, Mammalia, Scandentia, Tupaiidae.